UUGGGCUUGAGCUAACUUUGCCAAACACUGCCUACCACUCGCCGACCAGAAAAAAGCCUCGAGCUAACACCCACUGCCCACCACUCGUUUCUUUGGCCUGAUCUCUUUCGAUUCCGUUCUUUCCCUUUUCAUGGGGUGAAAUCACAAGCAAUCGUCUCAUAUCUUCCAUUCCAGUAACCAAGUGAACAGUAAUGGAGUGGGACAGCGAUUCGGAUCUGAGCGCCGAGGAGGAGGAGGAGGAAGACGGGGAGGUCAGCUCUUCCAUGUUCGACGACGACGACGCCGCCGGCCCGGGACCGCUUCCCUUCCCCGUCGAGAAUUUGCUUCAAACGGCGCCGUGCGGGAUUGUUGUUACCGACGCCAUCGACCCUGAUCAUCCUAUCAUCUACGUCAACACCGUCUUUGAGAUGGUCACCGGAUACCGUGCCGAGGAGGUCCUCGGUCGCAACUGCCGAUUUUUGCAAUAUAGAGGGCCAUUUGCCAAAAGAAGGCAUCCACUAGUGGAUUCUGCAGUAGUUUCAGAAAUCAAAAGAUGUCUGGAGGAGGGCAUUGAAUUCCACGGAGAGUUGUUAAACUUUAGGAAAGAUGGAUCUCCAAUGAUGAAUAGGUUGCGGCUGACACCUAUAUAUGGGGAUGAUGAUGUGAUAAGCCAUGUCAUUGGAAUUCAGUUCUUCACGGAGGUAGAUAUUGAUCUAGGUCCAGUGCCUGGUACCACAAUCAAGGAGUCUGCAAAAUCUUCUGAUCGGUUUCAUGCUUGUCUUUCCGCUUUUCGUCCUGGAUUGCCUCUGGGGGAGCGUAAUAUCUGUCGUGGAGUUUGUGGGAUAUUGCAAUUGAGUGAUGAGGUUAUUGCUCUCAAGAUAUUAUCUAACUUGACACCUAGAGACAUUGCAUCUGUUGGGUCAGUCUGUAGGCGACUCUAUGAGCUUACGAAGAAUGAGGACCUUUGGAGAGUGGUCUGCCAGAAUGCAUGGGGUAGUGAAACAACCCGUGUUUUACAGGCUGUGCCAGGUGCAAAGAGGCUAGGUUGGGGUAGGCUGGCACGUGAACUGACCACUCUUGAAGCAGCGACGUGGAGAAAGGUCACUGUUGGAGGUGCUGUGGAACCCUCACGCUGUAACUUUAGUGCUUGUGCAGUUGGUAAUCGUGUAGUUCUUUUUGGUGGUGAAGGGGUUAAUAUGCAACCAAUGAAUGACACCUUCGUAUUGGAUCUGAAUGCCAAUAACCCAGAGUGGCAGCAUGUCCAAGUGAGCUCCCCUCCUCCUGGUCGUUGGGGCCAUACACUUUCUUGUGUGAAUGGGUCACAUUUGGUGGUAUUUGGAGGCUGUGGCAGGCAGGGUUUGCUAAAUGAUGUUUUUGUACUGGAUUUGGAUGCAAAACCUCCAACUUGGCGUGAAAUAUCUGGGUUGGCUCCUCCUCUUCCAAGAUCAUGGCACAGUUCCUGCACUCUUGAUGGCACCAAGUUGAUAGUUUCAGGUGGUUGUGCAGACUCCGGAGUCCUUCUCAGUGAUACCUUUUUGCUUGAUCUCUCGAUGGAAAGACCUGUCUGGAGAGAGAUACCAGUAGCAUGGAAGCCCCCUUCCAGAUUAGGUCACACCCUGUCUGUAUAUGGUGGUAGGAAGAUUUUGAUGUUUGGGGGCCUUGCCAAGAGUGGGCCACUUCGGUUUCGUUCGAGUGAUGUUUUUACAAUGGACCUGAGUGAGGACGAACCAUGCUGGAGGUGUGUCACUGGAGGUGGAGUGCCCGGUUCUGGAAAUCCAGGAGGAAUGGCUCCUCCUCCUAGACUUGAUCAUGUCGCUGUGAGCCUCCCAGGUGGGAGAAUCUUGAUCUUUGGUGGGUCUGUUGCUGGUCUUCACUCUGCCUCACAACUUUAUCUUCUGGAUCCAACUGAUGAGAAACCUACAUGGAGAAUAUUAAAUGUACCGGGGCGGCCCCCAAGAUUCGCCUGGGGACACAGCACGUGUGUUGUUGGAGGGACAAGGGCAAUUGUCCUUGGUGGUCAAACUGGAGAAGAGUGGAUGUUAAGUGAGCUUCAUGAGCUUUCACUAGCAAACUCUGUAAUCUGAUUGAGAGUAUAUGGUAAUAUGGUGUAAUCAAAGGGCGCAGAAGCCUUCAACUGCAACAUUUCAGAUAAUUUGGAGGAAUCAGUCAGGCAGAAGUUGCUAUUUCAGUCACUAAUCACUCUUGACAAUUGCUACAUUAGUCUGGACUUCUUUAGGUUCUGAAAGUUUCUUAUAUGGAUUUGUUCUGGCUUGGGGUGACAUUUCAGUUAUUUCCAAGAGCGACCCUGAAACAAUGUUUGUUUUUUGUGAGGUUUGUGUGAGACUGCCCUUCAGUACGGACAAUGAAUAAUCUUCCUUGUCAGCUGAAAAGAUAUACAAGGAAAGAUUGUGAGGCAGAUUUCUGAAGAAGCCAGCACCCUAACUCUGUAGAACGUGGCGGUGUUGUUUUUGCGUCCAGAUUAAGUUCCUUUUUCUGGUCGAGAUGGUUUCUUCACUUUCUUGAGACUUGACAAUUUUUCAGCCUUGGAAGGAUGUGGCUUCUUUUUGUUUGCUGCCCUGAUCUUUGCCUUUAGUUUCUUUUCAGUUAUGCAUUUGUUUCCUCUUAACACGGCCGGAGAUACAUGAUCUUUAGUUUCCCUUCAAUUACUCAUUCGGCUGUCUCCACUUAUCACAGCCAGAUACAGUUGUUACAGUUAUGCUUCCUUCGAUUUCUUAUUUUACAAUUUGCACUUUACACAGCCGUAUACAUCUGUUAUGGUUAUAAAAUUGAAUAUAGCUGUUUUCCUGUUGUUCAGCA
This is an RNA transcript of Rosa chinensis, 2796 nucleotides long. It is a transcript of the gene named adagio protein 1, with no coding region annotated. The transcript has 3 exons. The record is from RefSeq and is a predicted model, not a curated record. Lineage: Eukaryota; Viridiplantae; Streptophyta; Magnoliopsida; Rosales; Rosaceae.